Non-coding RNA from Bactrocera oleae (olive fruit fly), 789 nucleotides. NCBI's taxonomy places the organism in Eukaryota, Metazoa, Arthropoda, Insecta, Diptera, Tephritidae. The record is from RefSeq and is a predicted model, not a curated record.
GAACCGCACAAACAUUUGCGAAAAUUUUAUGAAAAGGAAUGACAAAAAAAGUCGGUGCGAGUUACUGCACUCUUUCUGCUCGUGUGAACGCAAAGAGCGACAUUAAAACAUAAUAUUCCGAUAAUGAGCGACCAAAGAAUCCCCAUGUAAACGCAGUAGUACUUCAAAUACCAAUGCACGUCCCUUGUGUGACUAAAGUGCAGCCAACGCAUUUUAUCAGUUGCUGUUGCGUGUGCAUUAGUAUUAUAUUUGGUGUUCGCAUGUUUUGUAUCUGAACCUACACCUGUCCAAGCUGUCAACAUAAUAUCAGAAACACAAGCAUUAAAUAUUUCAUGGAGCCCUCCUCGGUAUGCUGAUUUAUGUGUAAUAGAAUACCGUUUAACGGGAUGGAUUAAUAAGAACUCAUCUAGUCAACGUUUUGAUAAACAAACGAAUGCCACUUCAAUAUUUAUUAAUGGGCUUUAUGCGUGUCAGUCAUAUAAUCUUCAAAUUAUUGCAAUUACUAGCAAUACUGAUGGGGAAAUAGUAAGUACAGAAGUCGAAACUGCAGCAAAGGUGGCAAUGGCAAGUAAUAUUCAAGCAUUGGCUCAGUAUCCAAAUGCUCUCGAGCUUAGUGCUGUUGACUCAAAUUUCGAUAACAAGUGUGAGACUAUAAUAGCAAGAUUCCUGUGCGAAGAAAGCAAGCCCGGAAAUGCCACAUAUAAGGGCGCCAGACAAUAUGUGGAGGGUCAAGUCAAAGGUGUUACAUUUAAAGCGUUUUUGGCUCCACUUUCACCGUACACAUCCUAC